RNAcentral lists this unclassified non-coding RNA (329 nucleotides) under soil metagenome. RNAcentral describes it as "partial contains 5.8S ribosomal RNA, internal transcribed spacer 2, and large subunit ribosomal RNA". The stretch from base 1 to 120 matches the Rfam family "5.8S ribosomal RNA", at positions 35 to 154 of the family's 154-position model. The record is from RNAcentral.
GAUGAAGAACGUAGCGAAAUGCGAUAAGUAAUGUGAAUUGCAGAAUUCAGUGAAUCAUCGAAUCUUUGAACGCACAUUGCGCCCCUUGGUAUCCCGUGGGGCAUGCCUGUUCGAGCGUCAUUUCACCACUCAAGCCUGGCUUGGUGUUGGGCGACGUCCUCUUUGGGGACGCGCCUCGAAACGCUCGGCGGCGUGGCACCGGCUUUAAGCGUAGCAGAAUCUUUCGCUUUGGAAGUCGGGGCCCCGUCUGCCGGAAGACCUGCUCGCAAGGUUGACCUCGGAUCAGGCAGGGAUACCCGCUGAACUUAAGCAUAUCAAUAAGCGGAGGA